This 487-nucleotide ribosomal RNA is filed under the name uncultured bacterium. RNAcentral describes it as "partial 16S ribosomal RNA". It matches the Rfam family "Bacterial small subunit ribosomal RNA", at positions 28 to 507 of the family's 1533-position model. The record is from RNAcentral.
GACGAACGCUGGCGGCGUGCUUAACACAUGCAAGUCGAACGGGCUCUGUCUGGCUGUGUGCUGGGUGGGGUUAGUGGCGAACGGGUGAGUAAUACGUGAGUAACCUGCCCUCUUCCUUGGGAUAAGCCUUGGAAACGGGGUCUAAUACUGGAUAUUCCUGUAUGGUCGCAUGGCUGGGUGGGGAAAGUUUUUUUCGGUGGGGGAUGGGCUCGCGGCCUAUCAGUUUGUUGGUGGGGUGAUGGCCUACCAAGGCGUAGAGGGGUAGCCGGCCUGCGAGGGUGCCCGGCGACACUGGGACUGGGUUACGGCCCAGACUGCUACGGGAGGCAGCAGUGGGUGCUAUUGCACAAUGGGCGCAAGCCUGAUGCAGCGACGCCGCGUGGGGGAUGACGGCUUUCGGGUUGUAAACCUCUUGCGUCGGGGGACAAGGCUCUGCUUGGUGGUGGGGUUGAGGGUACCCGGUGAAGAAGCGCCGGCUAACUACGUG